RNAcentral lists this ribosomal RNA (422 nucleotides) under uncultured Nitrosomonas sp. RNAcentral describes it as "bacterial SSU rRNA". It matches the Rfam family "Bacterial small subunit ribosomal RNA", at positions 207 to 622 of the family's 1533-position model. Lineage: Bacteria; Pseudomonadati; Pseudomonadota; Betaproteobacteria; Nitrosomonadales; Nitrosomonadaceae. The record is from RNAcentral.
CAAGACCUUGCGCUAAAGGAGCGGCCGAUGUCUGAUUAGCUAGUUGGUGGGGUAAAGGCUUACCAAGGCAACGAUCAGUAGUUGGUCUGAGAGGACGGCCAACCACACUGGGACUGAGACACGGCCCAGACUCCUACGGGAGGCAGCAGUGGGAAUUUUGGACAAUGGGCGAAAGCUGAUCCAGCCAUGCCGCGUGAGUGAAGAAGGCCUUCGGGUUGUAAAGCUCUUUUAGUCGGAAAGAAAGAGUUGCAAUGAAUAAUUGUGAUUUAUGACGGUACCGACAGAAAAAGCACCGGCUAACUACGUGCCAGCAGCCGCGGUAAUACGUAGGGUGCGAGCGUUAAUCGGAAUUACUGGGCGUAAAGGGUGCGCAGACGGUCUUGCAAGUCAGAUGUGAAAGCCCCGGGCUUAACCUGGGAAUU